UACGUAGGGUGCAAGCGUUAAUCGGAAUUACUGGGCGUAAAGCGUGCGCAGGCGGCUUUGCAAGUCAGAUGUGAAAUCCCCGGGCUCAACCUGGGAACUGCAUUUGUGACUGCAUGGCUGGAGUGCGGCAGAGGGGGAUGGAAUUCCGCGUGUAGCAGUGAAAUGCGUAGAUAUGCGGAGGAACACCGAUGGCGAAGGCAGUCCCCUGGGCCUGCACUGACGCUGAUGCACGAAAGCGUGGGGAGCAAACAGG
This 253-nucleotide ribosomal RNA is filed under the name uncultured bacterium. RNAcentral's name for it is "partial 16S ribosomal RNA". It matches the Rfam family "Bacterial small subunit ribosomal RNA", at positions 524 to 776 of the family's 1533-position model. The record is from RNAcentral.